RNAcentral lists this long non-coding RNA (8232 nucleotides) under Ananas comosus (pineapple). Its description in RNAcentral is "long non-coding RNA (ACOM_LNC031551)". The record is from RNAcentral. Lineage: Eukaryota; Viridiplantae; Streptophyta; Magnoliopsida; Poales; Bromeliaceae.
GGGAAUAAAAAUAGAAUAGACAAAUAGUAUACUUUAUAAGUGAUCAACUAGCCCCUUCCGCCUUUCCUGCUUGCCCUUGUUAAUGCCUUGCGACUUGCCUUGAAAAAGCUUAACAUGGAAAAAAAGCCCUAUCCUUUUACCCUGGAAAAAUACUCAAUCAAUGGUGUUACUAUUUCGUAGGUAUAGCCACUGGAAAGGGCACUGGGAUAAAGGGGAAAUAUGAUAUUGAGGGCUUCCUAGUUGUCUAUUGCUCCUGGAAUCUCACUAUUGGCUUGCCUGGACCCUCUUGGUUUGCUUGGAGAAGCACUAGAACUACAUGGGGUUACCAUAUGCCCUUUUUUCUUUUCAUGACUCGGAGCUAACAUAACACUUUAACUAGAUGGCACUCCAACUGACACUGCAACUCAAAGCUACGGGAGGGCAGAACCAAUGUAACUGGCUUAGGGGGCACUCGAACUCGAGAGAAGCUAAACGCUCGGCUGGAUCAUAUUGUCUCGUAUGGACUGCUCCUAUUGAGACUGCUACAAGAGAGAAUGGAACUACAUGUAAAGAAACUCCCACUGGCUCGUAAGCAUCGGGGACUGCGGGGAAUUAAACUACUGCUACAAGGAAUACUGGGCCUUAGUCCUUCUCUUCUUUUAAACCUAUUCACUCGUAUCCCUAUCCAAAACGACAUGGAAGCACUUAGAACUGGAAUAUAAGUAUGAGUAUGCUAUGGGGCUAUUGACUAAGGGAUCUUAGAUAGGCUAUUGAUUAUCCCGCUUUCAAACUGGUUGUCCUAAAGGACAGGAGGAACUCUUUAACAUAUUAAUUAGUCUGGGGUGUACACUGAAAUGCCUUAGCCAAAGUAAACCACUCCUUAUGUAUACGAACAUUGGCUUGCAACUGCCAUUCUUUCUCGAUCGAAGGCAGAAGCAAUUGAAAAGAGAGAAGCAAAUGAUGAACUGGCUGGAAAAGAGCUCCCAGAGUAGAACUCGAAAUGAAAGUGGGCCUUUAACUGGCACUCCCGCUGUAAUUGGCUGGCCAGGAAAGUUCACUCGCUUAUUUACUUACGUUCUUAUUGAAGAAAGGAAAUUAAGAAAUAGCUACUAUUGAUACUGUAGUGGGACUGAGACUUAAAACAAAUAUACCUAUUAAGAGGUGGAACUGCUAGGCCUAGUACUUCCUAUUGCUGGUAUUCCAGGUGAACUUAUUCAAUACUCUAUGGUAGAAAUAGGAGAAACAUAUUCUAUUACUUAAUAAAGGGGAGAAACAAUUAGCUAUGAACUCAUCUCCUACACUGGGUCUAUGGGAACUAGGACUGAAAUUAUAUGGAUGGCUUUCGAGCCUGGAAAAUAACUGGCUUUUUCACAAGAUUGGUGAAACUGCUUUUAUCACUGGCUUUCCUCUUCUACUGAUUUAUAUUUCCUCCCGCUUUCUUCUUUUACGGAUAUUUCCCUUAGCUUUUUACCUAACCAGCCUUCAUCGAUACGAUACCCUGGCUUGCUUCUUUGCCUGCCUUGACUGUCGAAAUUAGCUUCCCUUAUUGAGAGCUCCCCAGCAAUAGAAUAUGACGAUACUCAUGCUCUGCUUGAACACUUGCCUGAUGGCUUUCAAAAUAGUUAUGGAUUGAAAAAGGGUAAAGAAACUGAAACUCAAAAGCAAACAAAGGAUUAGCAAUGGCUGGAAUAGAACUCCCAGAGAGAAGGCCAAAAACUGGCGCUUGGCUGGAAGGAAUUAGAUUAUGACUGGCCUCACCCUAUUUAUUUAUUUAUUGGCUCAUCUGGAUCGGUAACCUCGGGAAACCCGGGAGAACUCUUAUUGGGAGAACUUCAAGUGUUUAACUCCAAGCCCGACAUAUAAAAGCUAUAUUCAAGCCCCAGCCCUGUUUACUCCUGCUCAUUUAAAAUAUUCCUUACUGCUUGCCUUGAGAGAAACUCCUGCUGAAAAGGGAAUGCUUUCAUUUACUUAUGAUCUUGCUGGAUUAAAAAAGACUCCAACAGGAACUGAAAUUGAUAUAUAUAUAUAUAUAUAUAUAUGCAUUAAACUGCAUCAAAAUUAGCGAUAGAGACAUUGAUUGAAACAAUUAAAUGUGCUAAGUUGCACGUGCUGAACUUUGCCAAUGAACCACGUUCUACGUUUUACCACCCACCACGAAAACGAAAAAAAUUUGGGCCUGGGCCUCAUGGGCCUCACUUGGAGCCAUGGCCCAUUCCAAGUAGAGCGGGUUGAGUCGUUCGUAGUUCGAAGUUCGAACUCGGUUUUUUAACAUAUACCCUAAAAUUUGUGUCCGCGCCCACCUCUUCUCCUCCCUGGCUCCUCCCGGAGUACAUCAAAACCCUAGCUUCGAUCCUGAUUGUUGAGAUUCCUCUAGGGUUUGGAACCCGAAAUUGGUGAUGGAAGAGGACGAAGGAGAGACCGUUUCUGUUUCGGAGGUCGCCCCAGCUUUGAUCGCCGUACAUCCUCUCGAGAAUUCCGUUGCUGUCGCCGUGGGAUCCGGGGUAAGGCGGAUUGAACUACUGAAUAAGAGAAGCAUUGGGAUUUCCUUGAUUAUAGGGUACUAUCUCAUUGCGGAAGCAGAAGGGAAUCCUUCGAAAGGCAAACCAACGAGGAAGCAUGAAAGGAUCAGAGAAAGAUGUCUUCCUCGGGAAGAAAGCGCGAGCUCUUCAAUCAGUGAGCAUACCUCAUGGGAAUGCAGGUCUUGUUGCAGCACGGGCGUAAAAAGACAUCAUUGAUAACAACUCACUCUCGUUAAGCUCUUACGGUUCAAGGAAGGGAGACCGUCAAGGACAAGGCCAGUGACAAGUCAGGGGCAGGAAAUUCUACUAUAAUACGAGAUCUGUCAAGAAAAAACGGCAACAUAAAUAGUUCAGUCUGUGCCAUCUUAAAGUACAAUGCCAAUAGAGUCAACGAAUCGGAUUGAAAUCAGUGUGAAGAAGAGGGACUAAUCAAGCACAGCAAAAUAGUAGUCAUGUCCACAAGGAAAGGAAUUAUUUUCACCCCCUAUCUAUAUUAUGGGUCUGUACUACUCUAGGAGGUACUAUUGGCAGAGGGGAAGCGCCACUUAGAGACUUUGAAUCUGAAGGAGGGCAGUCGGCCCUAAAGGUAAGAAGGUCUUUGUUUAAGUUCUAAAGUAAUGAUUCAAUCCCACACCUAUUGGAAUCCUCGUGUUGGACACGACGAACCACGCGGAAUAAAGGAAAGCGGGAACUGAACUGAGAACGUUUCGCUGUGAGUCUCCGAACAGCCCGACCCACAUCGCUUCUCUAGAUUAGUGUACUUCCUAAGGUUGGGCAUUUGGCUGAGCCUCUCUCCCUCACCAAUGUGAAUGAAAGGGCACCACAUACAUCUCGACUAGUUUAGUUCGUGCCUGCGGAGCGAACUAAAACCUAUUUUGAAUUCCGGACUCCGAAGUUAGGAUAUUUGGUUGCUUGCUUUGUACUCGACCCAUGUGGUUCGGCUUGUUGCGCCACCUCACUUAACCAAACAUAUCCGAGAAUCAGUUCUACCUGAUCUACACAGCACUUGCUGCUUCAUCCCCGGUUGCAUCUUACUCUGCUGGUCCACCUUCUAAACUGGUCUCCGCACCUGAGACACAUCCGUCUCCUGUUGCUUAUUCUUUUUCCUAUAUUGUGGUGGCUUAUUCGGCGAGUUGGAGCUCCUACUGUUCCCGCGCCAGCUUCAACUCUUGCUCCCGAUUCGGCUCGUGCAACCAGGUGCGGGGCGGCGAUCACUUCGAGAGCUGCACAAGGUAUAUUUUGCACUCUUUAUUUAAGAAUAUUGCCCCCCUAUGUAUGUAUGGCGGUGGAAUUACGAUAGGUAGAGUGCCUCUAUACGGGAAGGUAACCCGUAGAGUGCUGCUUUCUUUGUGGUAAAGCCACAUGAUUGUGAUUAUUAAAGAGUUAGGAUUGAACCUACGACCUCCAGUCUCCCUAAGUGGAGUAAAGCUCCCUUCGGCCUCGAAGAUCAUCUGGUUCCAACUCGAAUUUCUAUGUUAAUAGGUUUUGUACUUCUGCAUGUUGGGAAUAAAAAUAGAAUAGACAAAUAGUAUACUUUAUAAGUGAUCAACUAGCCCCUUCCGCCUUUCCUGCUUGCCCUUGUUAAUGCCUUGCGACUUGCCUUGAAAAAGCUUAACAUGGAAAAAAAGCCCUAUCCUUUUACCCUGGAAAAAUACUCAAUCAAUGGUGUUACUAUUUCGUAGGUAUAGCCACUGGAAAGGGCACUGGGAUAAAGGGGAAAUAUGAUAUUGAGGGCUUCCUAGUUGUCUAUUGCUCCUGGAAUCUCACUAUUGGCUUGCCUGGACCCUCUUGGUUUGCUUGGAGAAGCACUAGAACUACAUGGGGUUACCAUAUGCCCUUUUUUCUUUUCAUGACUCGGAGCUAACAUAACACUUUAACUAGAUGGCACUCCAACUGACACUGCAACUCAAAGCUACGGGAGGGCAGAACCAAUGUAACUGGCUUAGGGGGCACUCGAACUCGAGAGAAGCUAAACGCUCGGCUGGAUCAUAUUGUCUCGUAUGGACUGCUCCUAUUGAGACUGCUACAAGAGAGAAUGGAACUACAUGUAAAGAAACUCCCACUGGCUCGUAAGCAUCGGGGACUGCGGGGAAUUAAACUACUGCUACAAGGAAUACUGGGCCUUAGUCCUUCUCUUCUUUUAAACCUAUUCACUCGUAUCCCUAUCCAAAACGACAUGGAAGCACUUAGAACUGGAAUAUAAGUAUGAGUAUGCUAUGGGGCUAUUGACUAAGGGAUCUUAGAUAGGCUAUUGAUUAUCCCGCUUUCAAACUGGUUGUCCUAAAGGACAGGAGGAACUCUUUAACAUAUUAAUUAGUCUGGGGUGUACACUGAAAUGCCUUAGCCAAAGUAAACCACUCCUUAUGUAUACGAACAUUGGCUUGCAACUGCCAUUCUUUCUCGAUCGAAGGCAGAAGCAAUUGAAAAGAGAGAAGCAAAUGAUGAACUGGCUGGAAAAGAGCUCCCAGAGUAGAACUCGAAAUGAAAGUGGGCCUUUAACUGGCACUCCCGCUGUAAUUGGCUGGCCAGGAAAGUUCACUCGCUUAUUUACUUACGUUCUUAUUGAAGAAAGGAAAUUAAGAAAUAGCUACUAUUGAUACUGUAGUGGGACUGAGACUUAAAACAAAUAUACCUAUUAAGAGGUGGAACUGCUAGGCCUAGUACUUCCUAUUGCUGGUAUUCCAGGUGAACUUAUUCAAUACUCUAUGGUAGAAAUAGGAGAAACAUAUUCUAUUACUUAAUAAAGGGGAGAAACAAUUAGCUAUGAACUCAUCUCCUACACUGGGUCUAUGGGAACUAGGACUGAAAUUAUAUGGAUGGCUUUCGAGCCUGGAAAAUAACUGGCUUUUUCACAAGAUUGGUGAAACUGCUUUUAUCACUGGCUUUCCUCUUCUACUGAUUUAUAUUUCCUCCCGCUUUCUUCUUUUACGGAUAUUUCCCUUAGCUUUUUACCUAACCAGCCUUCAUCGAUACGAUACCCUGGCUUGCUUCUUUGCCUGCCUUGACUGUCGAAAUUAGCUUCCCUUAUUGAGAGCUCCCCAGCAAUAGAAUAUGACGAUACUCAUGCUCUGCUUGAACACUUGCCUGAUGGCUUUCAAAAUAGUUAUGGAUUGAAAAAGGGUAAAGAAACUGAAACUCAAAAGCAAACAAAGGAUUAGCAAUGGCUGGAAUAGAACUCCCAGAGAGAAGGCCAAAAACUGGCGCUUGGCUGGAAGGAAUUAGAUUAUGACUGGCCUCACCCUAUUUAUUUAUUUAUUGGCUCAUCUGGAUCGGUAACCUCGGGAAACCCGGGAGAACUCUUAUUGGGAGAACUUCAAGUGUUUAACUCCAAGCCCGACAUAUAAAAGCUAUAUUCAAGCCCCAGCCCUGUUUACUCCUGCUCAUUUAAAAUAUUCCUUACUGCUUGCCUUGAGAGAAACUCCUGCUGAAAAGGGAAUGCUUUCAUUUACUUAUGAUCUUGCUGGAUUAAAAAAGACUCCAACAGGAACUGAAAUUGGAUAGCUGGGAAUGGAAUAAUUAAUUAUGUAAAAAUACAUCUCUCACUUGCUUGUGUACUGGCACUCUCUGGAAAGGCUAUAAACUGACCCUGGGUCGGACUGGGACUUUCUCGCAGGAAAGGCAGAAUGAAACCAUUACGAAGGGAAAGAAAGAGAUACUUCUGUUGGCUUACUGGCUGGAAUGGUAAAGGACUAGUACUAGAAAUCGAUUACCCAGGCUGUAAAGGGCACUGACUCCCCAUAGCUUUCAGGAAAUUAAGGAACAGAGUGACGACCUUUAUAAUAUUAUUUAUAAAUAAAAAGAAUAAGGUAAGCAAAGAGAGGAAAUUCAAGUUCAAGAGACGGAUAGACUUACUCACUGGAAGGAUUGCCUAUACCCUUGCUUCACUAGAUAGGUGCUUUCCACUUACAGAAGAGGUGGAACAAGAUCAGGAUUUUUAAGAACUCCCACAGGAACUGGCUCUAAAGGAGAAGGAAUGGCACUAGGGGGAAGGGCUCGCAAAGCCUUAAGACUGAAAUUCAACCCCCCGAGAAGGCAGAACCAAGGAAACGGCCUGCAGGGGAAUCAGGACAGGUAAGGGAAGAAAGCAAGGCAAGGGAAAUCCCAACGGCUGGAAAGCAACUCGAUUAAAGGACAGGGACUACUGAUACAAUCCCAAAAGGAGGAGAUGCCCUUAGGAAUCCAACUCUCACUCCAACAGAUAAUUCAUCUUACUUAAAGGUUUCUUGCCUGCCCACAUCGAAAGAAAGUCCAACUGAGACUAUAUCUCAAACCCCUCCAAUGGUAACAGACUCGGGGACUACUAUUGCAAUAACAGGGACUGCUGGAAAGGAAAUAGGAUAUGCUGCAACACUGGGCUUGUUCAGGUAAUAUGCUAGUAAAAGAAUAGUGCAGAUAAUAGGUGUACAAGGCUAAUAUGCUAAUUAUUAACGAGUUGUUAUGUUAUACUAAAAUAAUCAAACUGAAAAGAGUUAUUAUGCUCACAUCACAGGGCCGGGCUCAGAGAACUCUGAAGUAGGCUCGAGAGCAAGAAAAGCAACUCCAACAGUAAAAGGUACUCCAAUUGACACUGAAACUGGGCAAACUCCCAAGAAGGGAGAAGGGCUAAUUCUAAGGCUGUCUCAUACUCUAUGUAACUAGGACUGGCACUAUGAACUCCUGCUUUAUAAUGACUUACUUGAUUACUUAGCCUAAGAGAGAGUUAAAAGUAAAGAAACUUAAACUGGAACUCACUCAAAACGAGCAGAAGGGCGAAGGACAGCAAUUGUAAAGAAUAAAGAAUCAAAGGCAGAAGGAAGGACAGAAAGGACAGGGACAAGGAAAACAAUUUAGGAAUACCUAUAGAUUUCCUCCGUAAAUAAAACUGUUUGCUCAGUUGACUAUCCAACUUUUUAAAACAAUCUGAACUUUGCUUUCUAACUAGCUUGCUCAUCAUAUAAUGUUGUCUCCCGGACACUGGCUCGCAUAGACCUAUAUCUAAGGGAACUAGCAAUAGCUGUAGGGGCUUAUCCUGAUCCUGAGACUGCUACUAUUUCUACUGCUACAAGAGAGAAUGUUUCAAUGGCAAUGGCCAGAGAAGCGGUACUUUGAAAAUCAAAAGGGCAAUUAGUACGGCUGACACGAUAGACUAAGAGACUACUUGCUCUCCCGCUGGGAGACAGGCAGAAGCACAUGAUGAUGCCCUUUUUUUCUUCUUCUUCAACUAGAUAGCUGGCAAUUGCCACUGAAACAGCAUCAAUGGUUGGAAGAAUAAAAGCAAUUGGAUAGUACCUUUUUUGCAAUUUCCUAGUAGGUUACAGGCCUGGAAAUAGACUGCAAAAAAGAGACGACUAAUGUACUCGCUUGCGCAUUUUCUUAACUCAUAUAAUUUCAUAAUUUAACUCAUAUAAUAAUGCUUAAUAACGAGCUUGCUUAUUCGCUUUUGCUCACAAAAGAACUGGCUUGCCAAAAGAAAAAGAAGAUUACUUAUCUCAAGGCCCUAGAAUCUGAGAACCUGAAAGAUAACUUGUUUGCUUUUUUUCCCUUUACCUGUGUGUGUCUGCUCACAACCGAAAUGAAUAGAAAACUCGCUGGAAGUGCCUUAAAGCCCAACUUCCCUUGCUUAUGGGACUGUAACCCACCAGUAGUAUAAGUAUAUACUACUACUACUUUAUAUGUAUAUAUCUUAUUAGUACAUUAAUAACCUAAUAACCAUAUAUUAAUAUAUGAACUCAUUAUUGGAUACUAACUAUUAAAC